GACGAACGCUGGCGGAGGGAUGAACACAUGCAAGUCGAACGGAAAGGCCCUGCUUUUGUGGGGUGCUCGAGUGGCGAACGGGUGAGUAACACGUGAGUAACCUGCCCUUGACUUUGGGAUAACUUCAGGAAACUGGGGCUAAUACCGGAUAGGAGCUCCUGCUGCAUGGUGGGGGUUGGAAAGUUUCGGCGGUUGGGGAUGGACUCGCGGCUUAUCAGCUUGUUGGUGGGGUAGUGGCUUACCAAGGCUUUGACGGGUAGCCGGCCUGAGAGGGUGACCGGCCACAUUGGGACUGAGAUACGGCCCAGACUCCUACGGGAGGCAGCAGUGGGGAAUAUUGCACAAUGGGCGGAAGCCUGAUGCAGCAACGCCGCGUGCGGGAUGACGGCCUUCGGGUUGUAAACCGCUUUCGCCUGUGACGAAGCGUGAGUGACGGUAAUGGGUAAAGAAGCACCGGCUAACUACGUG
RNAcentral lists this ribosomal RNA (468 nucleotides) under uncultured bacterium. RNAcentral describes it as "partial 16S ribosomal RNA". It matches the Rfam family "Bacterial small subunit ribosomal RNA", at positions 28 to 507 of the family's 1533-position model. The record is from RNAcentral.